RNAcentral lists this long non-coding RNA (1242 nucleotides) under Daphnia magna. RNAcentral's name for it is "uncharacterized LOC123474590, transcript variant X4". The record is from RNAcentral. Lineage: Eukaryota; Metazoa; Arthropoda; Branchiopoda; Diplostraca; Daphniidae.
GAACCACUAUGCUACAGAAACAUCUGUCUUUAGAAAGCGAAACAACGGAGGAAACAUGAAUAACUUACCAUGGCCGUUAAGUUGAGCAAGUUACCGAAGUGGCUGACGGCCUUCCAUUUAUGGAUGGUAUACCAUCUGUCGGCGAGACCAAAUACGUAAACCAAAUACGUAAACCAAACGCCAAUCAGAAGUAGCAAAGCAGGCAAGGAGAUAUAAAUAUUGCACAGCAUUUGUUCUCACAUGGUGCCUUGGAAGAAAUCACCGCCAUUUAAAAAAAUUGUGUCCGGAUGCUGUUCACGAAUUUUUCGAGCUUGAUGGACCAGACGGGCAUAUCCACCGAAACAAUUGCCAUCCUCCGAGUCUCGUUGUUUGCACGCCCCACCGAGUUUGUUGGCCUCUUCGAAACGGCAAUGGAUAUCGUUAGUGUGUAGGAUAGUCAAAUUAAACGAAGCUGAUGCCUGCUUGACAACGAAAGAUACACAAAACAGACCCAACAGCCUCAACCACAUGAGUACGGUAUUACGUGUCGACCAGUCCUGCAUUUUCUGCUCAACUGUGGACAAAAUUUUGAGCGUUCAGCGUUAUAUUGCUCACCAAACUGGAAAUAGGCGUCGCCACAAGCUGUCUACUAGCUUUCGGAGAGAGGAGACUAAAUCCGAAGGACGUAACCAGCAAGAGUCAUCUCCUAUUCAAACUUCCCUUCGCAGAUUCCCUUCGGGAUUCGGUUUGCUAUAAGAAGCUAGCCCAGAUGCCAAUCGUCUUGAUCCCUCUCCCUUUGAUUGCGAUUCGAGUCAACGCAUUCCAUCAUGCCAGCGAUUGCAGACGUUGUUCGACCAUUCUUUUCACAGGAUUUUAUGACUGGACUUCCUGCAAUUCCUGAUACCAUCUGUCCUAAGAGGUUGUAGACAAGAUGGCUGAAGCCGUCUUAACUGUUCCAGCAAUUUCCAAGGUCCUGUAUGACCUGACGGCGAAACCACCGGAGAAAACGGAGUGGGGAUGAUUUGAUUUACGAACGUUGCUUAGGCAAAUGAUCUCCACACUCUUUAUAGGACAAGGAUACGGAGUUUUAUCAUGACCAGACUUAGAUGGGAGAUAUUACGAACAUUGGAUUCAGUAUAGACUUUUGAAAUUAAAAAAUUUAUUAGCUUUGUCGUCUCGUGAAAAUCUCUUUAACUCGCUUUUUAAGAGGAGUUCACGUGAUGACUUGUCUAUUUCUUAAUAUACGUGCACACUUGUCGGAAA